UUUAAAAUGAAAGAUACAGUCUAAUUCUCCCUUCUCUGUCUACUUUUUCAGCUUCCACCCCUAGUCCUUCAUGUUUGCUUCUCUAUGCAAGGUGAAGGCCAGAUACUCUGGCUUAGCUAAAAAGCCAUGUAGGAUAUCUGGUCUUUGAAAACCAUUUUUGAGGCAUCUGGGAAGAAUGAAGACCUAAAGUAUUUUACCAAAGUUUUGAAUAAUGCCAGGGAGAGCUACAAAAGUUAAAGGGAGAUGUGGGGAAAAGAAUUAAUACUCUGAAGAAUACUCUUUCCAGUUCUCUCAGAGGUUAAACUUGGAGAGAAACACUUGUAAUAUUUCAAUAUUAGUAGCAGUCUAUUGUAGCAUCAUGCUACAUGGGAAGAUUCUCUGGAGGGUCAUUCCUAGACUUGUGAAGUUAUCUUUUAAAGGUCAUCAUCUUUUCCAGCAACAUUGACGUGAUUUCAAAGGACCUGUGCAAG
This 470-nucleotide long non-coding RNA is filed under the name Vombatus ursinus (common wombat). RNAcentral describes it as "lncRNA (ENSVURG00010001503.1)". Lineage: Eukaryota; Metazoa; Chordata; Mammalia; Diprotodontia; Vombatidae. The record is from RNAcentral.